UGGGGAAUAUUGCGCAAUGGGGGAAACCCUGACGCAGCAACGCCGCGUGGAGGAAGAAGGUCUUCGGAUUGUAAACUCCUGUCUUCUGGGACGAAUAAUGACGGUACCAGAGGAGGAAGCCACGGCUAACUACGUGCCAGCAGCCGCGGUAAUACGUAGGUGGCAAGCGUUGUCCGGAAUUAUUGGGCGUAAAGGGCGCGUAGGCGGCAACCUAAGUCAGAUGUGAAACCCCGGGGCUUAACUCCGGACGUGCAUUUGAAACUGGGUAGCUAGAGUGCAGGAGAGGAAAGCGGAAUUCCUAGUGUAGCGGUGAAAUGCGUAGAUAUUAGGAGGAACACCAGUGGCGAAGGCGGCUUUCUGGACUGUAACUGACGCUGAGGCGCGAAAAGCGUGGGGAGCAAAACAGGAUUAGAUACCCUGGUAGUCCACGCUGUAAAACGAUGGAUACUAGGUGUGGGAGGUAUCGACCCCUUCCGUGCCGCAGUAAACGCAAU
This 494-nucleotide ribosomal RNA is filed under the name uncultured bacterium. RNAcentral describes it as "partial 16S ribosomal RNA". It matches the Rfam family "Bacterial small subunit ribosomal RNA", at positions 355 to 861 of the family's 1533-position model. The record is from RNAcentral.